GGCUAUUAGGGCAAUCUAGCUACAAUAUCCAUCGCUCCAUUGACAGUCAGGGUCAAUUCAGCUGAUCUGAAUUGACUAAGUGGGUGCCCCUUUCCUUCCUUAUACUACCAUGUGUAUCCAUCCCCAAAGUGCAUGCUAAGUUGAAGAAGACGACCUUCCCUGACAGAGGAGGAAUAUUCUUUGGUCAAGAAUAUAGGAGUAGCUGCAUUGCCCUGCUACAAUCUCCAAAAAAGUUCUCAAGGUCCAUUUAUAGAACAUAAGGUAGUCAUGCAUCUAAGACUCCAGACACAUCCAAACAUCCAAACGAGGUCCUGAAUGU
This 319-nucleotide small nuclear RNA is filed under the name Canis lupus familiaris (dog). RNAcentral's name for it is "7SK RNA". It matches the Rfam family "7SK RNA". Rfam says of the family: 7SK was discovered as an abundant small nuclear RNA in the mid-70s but a possible function has only recently been suggested. Two independent studies have found that 7SK RNA binds the CDK9/cyclin T complex (known as elongation factor P-TEFb). Lineage: Eukaryota; Metazoa; Chordata; Mammalia; Carnivora; Canidae. RNAcentral also lists the same sequence under 1 other name. The record is from Rfam by way of RNAcentral.